Molecule: ribosomal RNA, 253 nt
Filed under: uncultured bacterium
Lineage: Bacteria
Description: partial 16S ribosomal RNA
Rfam family: Bacterial small subunit ribosomal RNA
Source: RNAcentral
UACGAAGGGGGCUAGCGUUGCUCGGAAUCACUGGGCGUAAAGCGCACGUAGGCGGACUCUUAAGUCGGGGGUGAAAGCCCAGGGCUCAACCCUGGAACUGCCUUCGAUACUGGGAGUCCUGAGUAUGGUAGAGGUUGGUGGAACUGCGAGUGUAGAGGUGAAAUUCGUAGAUAUUCGCAAGAACACCAGUGGCGAAGGCGGCUCACUGGCCCGAUACUGACGCUGAGGCACGAAAGCGUGGGGAGCAAACAGG